GAGCUUGCUCCUGCUGACGAGCGGCGGACGGGUGAGUAACGCGUGGGAAUCUGCCUAUUGGUGGGGGAUAGCCCGGAGAAAUCCGGAUUAAUACCGCAUAAUACCUGAGGGUUAAAACAGGGGAUCUUCGGACCUUGUGCCAAUAGAUGAGCCCGCGUCAGAUUAGUUAGUUGGUGAGGUAAUGGCUCACCAAGACCGCGAUCUGUAGCUGGCCUGAGAGGGUGGCCAGUCACACUGGAACUGAGACACGGUCCAGACUCCUACGGGAGGCAGCAGUGGGGAAUAUUGGGCAAUGGGCGCAAGCCUGACCCAGCCAUGCCGCGUGUGUGAAGAAGGCUUUCGGGUUGUAAAGCACUUUAAGUUGGGAGGAAGGUGCGACGGUUAAUACCCGUUGUAAUUGACGUUACCAACAGAAUAAGCACCGGCUAAUUCCGUGCCAGCAGCCGCGGUAAUACGGAAGGUGCGAGCGUUAAUCGGAAUUACUGGGCGUAAAGCGCACGUAGGCGGUUUGCUAAGUCAGAUGUGAAAGCCCAGGGCUUAACCUUGGAACUGCAUCUGAUACUGGCAGGCUAGAGUACAGUAGAGGGAGGUGGAAUUUCAGGUGUAGCGGUGAAAUGCGUAGAGAUCUGAAGGAACACCAGUGGCGAAGG
RNAcentral lists this ribosomal RNA (650 nucleotides) under uncultured marine bacterium. RNAcentral's name for it is "bacterial SSU rRNA". It matches the Rfam family "Bacterial small subunit ribosomal RNA", at positions 76 to 721 of the family's 1533-position model. The record is from RNAcentral.